AAUUGUCUGCAAGGCUAAAUUUCCAUGACCGUGUGCAGUCACCCUCGGAAAUCAGCAGAUGACCACUCCUAGCCCACUUGAAUCACUGAACCAGGUGUGAGAGUGCAUUCAUUCAUCCAUCGUUGAGUCAGAGUCUGCAGGCCAGACCUCCACAGGUGGUGACUGACGUCUCACACACACUUCUUAAUCAGAAACCUGGACCCUCCAUCAAGUGAACCUACUGGCAUGUAGACCUCAGAUAAGAAGGAACUGAAGACUGAAUUCUGAUCACUGU
Molecule: long non-coding RNA, 274 nt
Filed under: Callithrix jacchus (white-tufted-ear marmoset)
Lineage: Eukaryota; Metazoa; Chordata; Mammalia; Primates; Cebidae
Description: lncRNA (ENSCJAG00000086956.1)
Source: RNAcentral